This 492-nucleotide ribosomal RNA is filed under the name uncultured bacterium. RNAcentral's name for it is "partial 16S ribosomal RNA". It matches the Rfam family "Bacterial small subunit ribosomal RNA", at positions 29 to 507 of the family's 1533-position model. The record is from RNAcentral.
AGUGAACGCUGGCGGUAGGCCUAACACAUGCAAGUCGAACGGUAGCACAGUAAGAGCUUGCUCUUACGGGUGGCGAGUGGCGGACGGGUGAGGAAUACAUCGGACUCUACUUUUUCGUGGGGCUUAACGUAGGGAAACUUACGCUAAUACCGCAUACGACCUACGGGUGAAAGCAGGGGAUCUUCGCACCUUGCGCGAUUGAAUGAGCCGAUGUCGGGUUAGCUAGUUGGCGGGGUAAUGGCCCACCAAGGCGACGAUCCGUAGCUGGACUGAGAGAAUGGUAGGCGACACUGGAACUGGGACACGGUCCAGACUCCUGCGGGAGGCAGCAGUGGGGAAUAUUGGACAAUGGGCGCAAGCCUGAUCCAGCCAUACCACGUGGGUGAAGAAGGCCUUCGGGUUGUAAAGACCUUUUGUUGGGAAAGAAAAGCAGCAGGUUAAUACCCCGCUGUUCUGACGGUACCCAAAGAAUAAGCACCGGCUAACUUCGUG